RNAcentral lists this transfer RNA (71 nucleotides) under Camelus bactrianus (Bactrian camel). It matches the Rfam family "tRNA". From Rfam's summary of the family: Transfer RNA (tRNA) molecules are approximately 80 nucleotides in length. Their secondary structure includes four short double-helical elements and three loops (D, anti-codon, and T loops). Lineage: Eukaryota; Metazoa; Chordata; Mammalia; Artiodactyla; Camelidae. RNAcentral also lists the same sequence under 2 other names. The record is from Rfam by way of RNAcentral.
GAGGUUAUUGCUCAAUGGUAGAGUGUGUGCUUAGCAUGCAUGAGGUCCUGGGUUCCAGCCCAAUUACCUCC